AGAUUGAACGCUGGCGGCAUGCCUUACACAUGCAAGUCGAACGGCAGCACGGGAGCAAUCCUGGUGGCGAGUGGCGAACGGGUGAGUAAUACAUCGGAACGUGCCCAGUUGUGGGGGAUAGCCCGGCGAAAGCCGGAUUAAUACCGCAUACGACCUACGGGUGAAAGCGGGGGAUCGCAAGACCUCGCGCUAUUGGAGCGGCCGAUGUCGGAUUAGCUUGUUGGUAGGGUAAAAGCCUACCAAGGCUACGAUCCGUAGCUGGUCUGAGAGGACGACCACGCCACACUGGGACUGAGACACGGCCCAGACCUCCUACGGGAGGACAGCAGCGGGGAAUUUGGACAAGUGGGCGAAAGCCUGAUCCGAGCCAUCGCCG
This 376-nucleotide ribosomal RNA is filed under the name uncultured soil bacterium. RNAcentral describes it as "bacterial SSU rRNA". It matches the Rfam family "Bacterial small subunit ribosomal RNA", at positions 26 to 399 of the family's 1533-position model. The record is from RNAcentral.